AGAGUUUGAUCAGUGGCUCAGGACGAACGCUGGCGGCGUGCUUAACACAUGCAAGUCGAACGGUGACCCAGGGCUUGCCCUGGUGAUCAGUGGCGAACGGGUGAGUAACACGUGGGCAACCUGCCCCCGACUUCGGGAUAACUCCUCGAAAGAGGAGCUAAUACCGGAUACGACCACUUCGGACAUCCGAUGGUGGUGGAAAGUUUUCGGUCAGGGAUGGGCCCGCGGCCUAUCAGCUAGUUGGUGGGGUAAUGGCCUACCAAGGCGACGACGGGUAGCCGGCCUGAGAGGGCGACCGGCCACACUGGGACUGAGACACGGCCCAGACUCCUACGGGAGGCAGCAGUGGGGAAUAUUGCGCAAUGGGCGAAAGCCUGACGCAGCGACGCCGCGUGAGGGAUGAAGGCCUUCGGGUUGUAAACCUCUUUCAGCAGGGACGAAGCGAAAGUGACGGUACCUGCAGAAGAAGCACCGGCUAACUACGUG
This 486-nucleotide ribosomal RNA is filed under the name uncultured bacterium. RNAcentral describes it as "bacterial SSU rRNA". It matches the Rfam family "Bacterial small subunit ribosomal RNA", at positions 8 to 507 of the family's 1533-position model. The record is from RNAcentral.